This 2921-nucleotide ribosomal RNA is filed under the name Staphylococcus aureus M0580. RNAcentral's name for it is "bacterial LSU rRNA". It matches the Rfam family "Bacterial large subunit ribosomal RNA". The record is from RNAcentral. Lineage: Bacteria; Bacillati; Bacillota; Bacilli; Caryophanales; Staphylococcaceae.
UUAAGUUAUUAAGGGCGCACGGUGGAUGCCUUGGCACUAGAAGCCGAUGAAGGACGUUACUAACGACGAUAUGCUUUGGGGAGCUGUAAGUAAGCUUUGAUCCAGAGAUUUCCGAAUGGGGAAACCCAGCAUGAGUUAUGUCAUGUUAUCGAUAUGUGAAUACAUAGCAUAUCAGAAGGCACACCCGGAGAACUGAAACAUCUUAGUACCCGGAGGAAGAGAAAGAAAAUUCGAUUCCCUUAGUAGCGGCGAGCGAAACGGGAAGAGCCCAAACCAACAAGCUUGCUUGUUGGGGUUGUAGGACACUCUAUACGGAGUUACAAAGGACGACAUUAGACGAAUCAUCUGGAAAGAUGAAUCAAAGAAGGUAAUAAUCCUGUAGUCGAAAAUGUUGUCUCUCUUGAGUGGAUCCUGAGUACGACGGAGCACGUGAAAUUCCGUCGGAAUCUGGGAGGACCAUCUCCUAAGGCUAAAUACUCUCUAGUGACCGAUAGUGAACCAGUACCGUGAGGGAAAGGUGAAAAGCACCCCGGAAGGGGAGUGAAAUAGAACCUGAAACCGUGUGCUUACAAGUAGUCAGAGCCCGUUAAUGGGUGAUGGCGUGCCUUUUGUAGAAUGAACCGGCGAGUUACGAUUUGAUGCAAGGUUAAGCAGUAAAUGUGGAGCCGUAGCGAAAGCGAGUCUGAAUAGGGCGUUUAGUAUUUGGUCGUAGACCCGAAACCAGGUGAUCUACCCUUGGUCAGGUUGAAGUUCAGGUAACACUGAAUGGAGGACCGAACCGACUUACGUUGAAAAGUGAGCGGAUGAACUGAGGGUAGCGGAGAAAUUCCAAUCGAACCUGGAGAUAGCUGGUUCUCUCCGAAAUAGCUUUAGGGCUAGCCUCAAGUGAUGAUUAUUGGAGGUAGAGCACUGUUUGGACGAGGGGCCCCUCUCGGGUUACCGAAUUCAGACAAACUCCGAAUGCCAAUUAAUUUAACUUGGGAGUCAGAACAUGGGUGAUAAGGUCCGUGUUCGAAAGGGAAACAGCCCAGACCACCAGCUAAGGUCCCAAAAUAUAUGUUAAGUGGAAAAGGAUGUGGCGUUGCCCAGACAACUAGGAUGUUGGCUUAGAAGCAGCCAUCAUUUAAAGAGUGCGUAAUAGCUCACUAGUCGAGUGACACUGCGCCGAAAAUGUACCGGGGCUAAACAUAUUACCGAAGCUGUGGAUUGUCCUUUGGACAAUGGUAGGAGAGCGUUCUAAGGGCGUUGAAGCAUGAUCGUAAGGACAUGUGGAGCGCUUAGAAGUGAGAAUGCCGGUGUGAGUAGCGAAAGACGGGUGAGAAUCCCGUCCACCGAUUGACUAAGGUUUCCAGAGGAAGGCUCGUCCGCUCUGGGUUAGUCGGGUCCUAAGCUGAGGCCGACAGGCGUAGGCGAUGGAUAACAGGUUGAUAUUCCUGUACCACCUAUAAUCGUUUUAAUCGAUGGGGGGACGCAGUAGGAUAGGCGAAGCGUGCGAUUGGAUUGCACGUCUAAGCAGUAAGGCUGAGUAUUAGGCAAAUCCGGUACUCGUUAAGGCUGAGCUGUGAUGGGGAGAAGACAUUGUGUCUUCGAGUCGUUGAUUUCACACUGCCGAGAAAAGCCUCUAGAUAGAAAAUAGGUGCCCGUACCGCAAACCGACACAGGUAGUCAAGAUGAGAAUUCUAAGGUGAGCGAGCGAACUCUCGUUAAGGAACUCGGCAAAAUGACCCCGUAACUUCGGGAGAAGGGGUGCUCUUUAGGGUUAACGCCCAGAAGAGCCGCAGUGAAUAGGCCCAAGCGACUGUUUAUCAAAAACACAGGUCUCUGCUAAACCGUAAGGUGAUGUAUAGGGGCUGACGCCUGCCCGGUGCUGGAAGGUUAAGAGGAGUGGUUAGCUUCUGCGAAGCUACGAAUCGAAGCCCCAGUAAACGGCGGCCGUAACUAUAACGGUCCUAAGGUAGCGAAAUUCCUUGUCGGGUAAGUUCCGACCCGCACGAAAGGCGUAACGAUUUGGGCACUGUCUCAACGAGAGACUCGGUGAAAUCAUAGUACCUGUGAAGAUGCAGGUUACCCGCGACAGGACGGAAAGACCCCGUGGAGCUUUACUGUAGCCUGAUAUUGAAAUUCGGCACAGCUUGUACAGGAUAGGUAGGAGCCUUUGAAACGUGAGCGCUAGCUUACGUGGAGGCGCUGGUGGGAUACUACCCUAGCUGUGUUGGCUUUCUAACCCGCACCACUUAUCGUGGUGGGAGACAGUGUCAGGCGGGCAGUUUGACUGGGGCGGUCGCCUCCUAAAAGGUAACGGAGGCGCUCAAAGGUUCCCUCAGAAUGGUUGGAAAUCAUUCAUAGAGUGUAAAGGCAUAAGGGAGCUUGACUGCGAGACCUACAAGUCGAGCAGGGUCGAAAGACGGACUUAGUGAUCCGGUGGUUCCGCAUGGAAGGGCCAUCGCUCAACGGAUAAAAGCUACCCCGGGGAUAACAGGCUUAUCUCCCCCAAGAGUUCACAUCGACGGGGAGGUUUGGCACCUCGAUGUCGGCUCAUCGCAUCCUGGGGCUGUAGUCGGUCCCAAGGGUUGGGCUGUUCGCCCAUUAAAGCGGUACGCGAGCUGGGUUCAGAACGUCGUGAGACAGUUCGGUCCCUAUCCGUCGUGGGCGUAGGAAAUUUGAGAGGAGCUGUCCUUAGUACGAGAGGACCGGGAUGGACAUACCUCUGGUGUACCAGUUGUCGUGCCAACGGCAUAGCUGGGUAGCUAUGUGUGGACGGGAUAAGUGCUGAAAGCAUCUAAGCAUGAAGCCCCCCUCAAGAUGAGAUUUCCCAACUUCGGUUAUAAGAUCCCUCAAAGAUGAUGAGGUUAAUAGGUUCGAGGUGGAAGCAUGGUGACAUGUGGAGCUGACGAAUACUAAUCGAUCGAAGACUUAAAUCA